CCUACGGGAGGCAGCAGUAAGGAAUAUUGGUCAAUGGACGCAAGUCUGAACCAGCCAUGCCGCGUGAAGGAUGAAGGCCCUCUGGGUUGUAAACUUCUUUUAUAGGGGAAGAAACCCAUCUUUUCUAAGGUGGUUGACGGUACCCUAGGAAUAAGCACCGGCUAACUCCGUGCCAGCAGCCGCGGUAAUACGGAGGGUGCAAGCGUUAUCCGGAUUCACUGGGUUUAAAGGGUGCGUAGGUGGGUCUGUAAGUCAGUGGUGAAAUCUCCGAGCUUAACUCGGAAACUGCCAUUGAUACUAUAGAUCUUGAAUUUUCUGGAGGUUAGCGGAAUAUGUCAUGUAGCGGUGAAAUGCUUAGAUAUGACAUAGAACACCAAUUGCGAAGGCAGCUGGCUACAGGAAUAUUGACACUGAGGCACGAAAGCGUGGGGAUCAAACAGGAUUAGAUACCCUGGUAGUCCACGCCCUAAACGAUGGAUACUCGACAUUUGUGAUACACAAUAAGUGUNUGAGNGAAGANAUAAGUAUACCACCGCGGAGACGAACCGACGAGUUAGAACGUACGAAAGAAAGUAGAGGCGNGAGAGNGCGACGGACGACGACGAGGGAGGAGG
Molecule: ribosomal RNA, 614 nt
Filed under: uncultured bacterium
Lineage: Bacteria
Description: bacterial SSU rRNA
Rfam family: Bacterial small subunit ribosomal RNA (bases 1-534)
Source: RNAcentral